UUCGUUUUUCUCCGUUUCGUUAAGCCCAAUGUCAAAACAAAGCCGAUAUUCGUGAUCAGCGUUCAAUUUUAAAUCGAAAUAAUGUAUUUUUAACUAAAUUAAGCAAGGAUUACGAAAAUUGAUAUCUUUUACACGUGAACCUUAUGGCAUUUGAAUUAUUAGAACUGAAAGUUGCUACAGACCUUACUCUAGCCCAAUGUAGAAAAUUGAAUAUCGUACCAAUAGGUGGCUAUAGUGUUUGGGGGACCGUCUGCAGUAGAAAUUCCUGAUACAAAGUUGCUACUGAUUUUUUAUUCGACGCUUUAAUACUGUUAAAUACUAGUACUUGGUGCUAACAUACAAUUUGACGUAAAAAUGUUGGGGAUAUGUUUUAGGGCACUUUUCCGCUAUUACAGUCAUUCGUAUCAUUUUCGCAGCCCGACUAAGUCGGACUUAUUUUGCUAUUACCCAAACAAAUAGUAAACUAUAGAGUGAAUUGUUUAUUUUAAAAAGCAAGUGAAAUGGAGUUACGGAUGAGAUUAGAGAAGAGCAAAGUUUACUUGCGGAUCUGAUGUUGCUGUUUUUAUAGCUUUUCUACCACUUUCCUAGAAAUGUCGGAAGAUUACACAGGCAAGCAAAGCCUAUUAAUGGAGAGGCAAUGCAACAUCAACCUAAGACGCACACCUCCAGAAUACCGAAGAGUUCUAUUGUGUUUGAACACACUACUUCAGUGAAUUUAAUACUAUGGAAAACACCACCGACAGAUCUUUGGUCAAACUUUUUCAAAAUUGUAAGUUUUGACUUUGCCCGUCGCCUUGCCCGGUCUCCCGUCUUCACUUCGCCCGUCUUCACCUCGCCCGUGUUCACCUCGCCCAUCACUCCGUCAUCGCACCGUGGUUGCGCCGUCUUCGCAUCGUGGUCGUCACGUUUUCGCUUCGCCCGUCGCCCCCGGCUUCACCACGUGGUCGCCCCGUCUUUGUCUCGCCCGUCCCCCCGUCUUCGCCUUGUCCUUCUUCACGUCUUCCCUGCCGCGCUAUCAUCGCCGCAUCCGUCGCCCCGUCUUCGCCUCCCCCAUCGCCCCGU
Molecule: long non-coding RNA, 1062 nt
Organism: Daphnia carinata
Lineage: Eukaryota; Metazoa; Arthropoda; Branchiopoda; Diplostraca; Daphniidae
Exons: 3
Source: RefSeq, a predicted model, not a curated record